Long non-coding RNA from Contarinia nasturtii (swede midge), 337 nucleotides. RefSeq lists it as uncharacterized. NCBI's taxonomy places the organism in Eukaryota, Metazoa, Arthropoda, Insecta, Diptera, Cecidomyiidae. The record is from RefSeq and is a predicted model, not a curated record. The transcript has 3 exons.
UUUACAACUUUAAAAAAUGACUUUCUAUUCGAAAAUUAGACACUGUAUUUAUAAAAAAAAGAUACAUUCAGUUUUCAGAUCAACACAUUGUAUAAAUGGCUUUUAAUCACAACACUUCAUAUUCAAUGCCACAAACGCAAUUGCAAGGCUAUCAACCUGUUACUACGCAGCCUUCCGGAGUAGGGGGAGUCCAUACUUUAACUAAAUGGAAAUCGAAGCCUGAUCAUGCCCGUAGCUAACAACACCUCUAAUGCGUAUUCCGAGUACUAAUUGACGUUUGUGACAAUAUGGCCGUCACGGUUUGGCAAAAUCAUAAUGAAUCGAUUAAACUGCGUUA